RNAcentral lists this ribosomal RNA (422 nucleotides) under uncultured Glomus. Its description in RNAcentral is "SSU rRNA". It matches the Rfam family "Eukaryotic small subunit ribosomal RNA", at positions 569 to 997 of the family's 1831-position model. The record is from RNAcentral. Lineage: Eukaryota; Fungi; Glomeromycota; Glomeromycetes; Glomerales; Glomeraceae.
AGCAGCCGCGGUAAUUCCAGCUCCAAUAGCGUAUAUUAAAGUUGCUGCAGUUAAAAAGCUCGUAGUUGAAUUUCGGGACCAUCAUGUCGGUCGUGCCUCGGUACGUACUGGCAUUAUUGGUUUCUCCCUUCUGACGAACCAUGAUGUCAUUUAUUUGGUGUUGUGGGGAAUCAGGACUGUUACUUUGAAAAAUUAGAGUGUUUAAAGCAGGCUCACGCUUGAAUACAUUAGCAUGGAAUAAUGAAAUAGGACGUUUGAUUCUAUUUUGUUGGUUUCUAGGAUCGACGUAAUGAUUAAUAGGGAUAGUUGGGGGCAUUAGUAUUCAAUUGUCAGAGGUGAAAUUCUUGGAUUUAUUGAAGACUAACUACUGCGAAAGCAUUUGCCAAGGAUGUUUUCAUUAAUCAAGAACGAAAGUUAGGGGA